Molecule: long non-coding RNA, 635 nt
Filed under: Struthio camelus australis
Lineage: Eukaryota; Metazoa; Chordata; Aves; Struthioniformes; Struthionidae
Description: lncRNA (ENSSCUG00000001848.1)
Source: RNAcentral
GCAACUUAACAAAAAUAACACUGAAAAUAUUUCUUAAAGCUUCCAAUUGCCCAGCAGUAUCUUUAUAGAAAUUACCAUUUUCCUCCUAUUAGGCCUGAAAUGAGAAUAAAAAGAGUACAGAGACACUCUUUGUAAUCACUACUGUUAUUAACUGAUUACAUUAAGUGCUACGUAGGAGAUCAGACGUCUGUAAAACACAAUAAUUAGUGUGAAAAGAACUGUAGCCUGACCACUGAUUUCAGAUCAAUUUCUAGGUUGUUUUUUUUCUUGUUUGAUUUGGUUGCUUUUUAUGGAUGGUCAAUAGCGAUCUGUUUCAAAUUAAUAUAUAUUUCUUUUUAUUGCCUUAUAGCAUUACAGACAUUACCUAUGCCUCCCUGGGCUGUUAUAUGUCUUCAAGACAAUCCCCUGCACGUCCAGUGUAACAACUGGAGGGCCGACCACUUCUCCAGACCAUCUUGCAACCUAAGGAUGGCGUGGAAAACUGUACAGCUCUGGAAGAAUUUUCCAUCAGUUCUCCCUUGUGAAAGACUCAACUGAAAUUGGAGAAACUGCCUCAAUGAACAAAGAUUUUGAAAAGCUUAAGUAUUUGCUGAGUUGUUGCCAUGAGCAAAGGAGCCAACAAGAUUUCAGGCAGG